Long non-coding RNA from Helianthus annuus (common sunflower), 422 nucleotides. RefSeq lists it as uncharacterized. The record is from RefSeq and is a predicted model, not a curated record. NCBI's taxonomy places the organism in Eukaryota, Viridiplantae, Streptophyta, Magnoliopsida, Asterales, Asteraceae. The transcript is spliced from 3 exons.
AACAAGGGUUCAAACCCUUGUUCUUGAUAAAUCUUCAAAUUGAAGGGUGGAAUGAAGUCUAAAUUCACAACCGAACAUGAAUUAACGAUCACCUUCACAAGGGGAUCAUAAGGAGUCAUGUUAACAUGGACACAAGCAUGGAAGGGUAACGGGCCAAAGAUAAACACGGAAGCUAUGCUUGAACUCGGACGCACGAGGCUGUACAGGGUUAUGGAUAUUUCAUAAAGAAGUGUACGCGGUUGAAGAUCGAGUCAAGACAUGGAUUGUACGUGGGUGUGUAUGUGGUCACUUAAUUUGAUAUAUGUAUUUUAGUUUUGAUUUAUUUAUGAAAAGGGAUUAAUGUAAUUAAGUGAAAGAAAGAAUACCAUGAAAGAAAUUUUAGGUGUGUAUUUUCCGCUGCGAAUCUUAGGUUAAAACGUGUU